Molecule: ribosomal RNA, 429 nt
Filed under: Bacteroidota bacterium
Lineage: Bacteria; Pseudomonadati; Bacteroidota
Description: Bacteroidetes bacterium partial 16S ribosomal RNA
Rfam family: Bacterial small subunit ribosomal RNA
Source: RNAcentral
UAGGGAAUCUUCGGCAAUGGGGGGAACCCUGACCGAGCAACGCCGCGUGAGUGAAGAAGGUUUUCGGAUCGUAAAGCUCUGUUGUUAAGGAAGAACGAGUGUGAGAAUGGAAAGUUCAUACUGUGACGGUACUUAACCAGAAAGGGACGGCUAACUACGUGCCAGCAGCCGCGGUAAUACGUAGGUCCCGAGCGUUGUCCGGAUUUAUUGGGCGUAAAGCGAGCGCAGGCGGUUAGAUAAGUCUGAAGUUAAAGGCAGUGGCUCAACCAUUGUAUGCUUUGGAAACUGUUUAACUUGAGUGCAGAAGGGGAGAGUGGAAUUCCAUGUGUAGCGGUGAAAUGCGUAGAUAUAUGGAGGAACACCGGUGGCGAAAGCGGCUCUCUGGUCUGUAACUGACGCUGAGGCUCGAAAGCGUGGGGAGCGAACAGG